CUCAGUAACACGUGGAUAACCUGCCCUUAGGAUUGGCAUAACACCGGGAAACUGGUGAUAAUACCGAAUAGACCAUUUAUGCUGGAAUGCUUUUUGGUUCAAAGGCUUCGGCUGCCUAAGGAUGGAUCUGCGGCCUAUCAGGUAGUAGUGGGUGUAAUGUACCUACUAGCCUACGACGGGUACGGGUUGUGAGAGCAAGAGCCCGGAGAUGGAUUCUGAGACAUAAAUCCAGACCCUACGGGGUGCAGCAGGCGCGAAAUCUUUACAAUGCGGGAAACCGCGAUAAGGGGACACUGAGUGCCAGCAUAUUAUGUUGGCUGUCCACAUGUCUAAAAACCAUGUGUUAGCAAGGGCCGGGCAAGACCGGUGCCAGCCGCCGCGGUAACACCGGCGGCCCGAGUGGUGAUCACUUUUAUUGGGUCUAAAGGGUCCGUAGCCGGUUUAAUCAGUCUUCUGGGAAAUCUGACAGCUCAACUGUUAGGCUUUCAGGGGAUACUGUUAAGCUUGGGACCGGGAGAGGUAAGAGGUACUACAGGGGUAGGAGUGAAAUCUUGUAAUCCCUGUGGGACCGCCGGUGGCGAAGGCGUCUUACCAGAACGGGUCCGACGGUGAGGGACGAAAGCUGGGGGCACGAACCGGAUUAGAUACCCGGGUAGUCCCAGCCGUAAACGAUGUUCGCUAAGUGUCAGGGACGGUGCGACCGUUUCUGGUGCCGUAGGGAAGCCGUGAGUGAACCACCUGGGAAGUACGGCCGCAAGGCUGAAACUAAAG
This 771-nucleotide ribosomal RNA is filed under the name uncultured archaeon. RNAcentral's name for it is "bacterial SSU rRNA". It matches the Rfam family "Archaeal small subunit ribosomal RNA", at positions 89 to 861 of the family's 1478-position model. The record is from RNAcentral.